Molecule: non-coding RNA, 105 nt
Organism: Canis lupus familiaris (dog)
Lineage: Eukaryota; Metazoa; Chordata; Mammalia; Carnivora; Canidae
Source: Rfam
AGGAGGAACAACCCCAGUGGCGGGGCCAGCUCUGCAGCCCUAGAGUCAGCCCCCGCAGUAACUCCGGAGCUCUCCGUCUGCAGGGCCUGGAGGCUUCGGGGCGGG